This 551-nucleotide small RNA is filed under the name Pongo abelii (Sumatran orangutan). Its description in RNAcentral is "processed transcript". The record is from RNAcentral. Lineage: Eukaryota; Metazoa; Chordata; Mammalia; Primates; Hominidae.
UAAGCCAACAGAAAUAGCAAAGCAAAUGACUCAAGCUUCAACUAUCAGCUACUUAAAAGUGAAGAUCUUUUGAAAGAGUAAUUAUAUUCUUUUAUCAUCAAGAAAGGUAUGGAGGUUACAUUAACUGUUAUAGUUGCUGAGCUGAGUUUUUAUGUCAGAUGCUUUCAAUCUUCUGAAGAUCUCAUCAAGAACCAGUCAUUCUAAUCAUUGUUUUCACACACUAUGGAUAUCAUUAAAAUAAAAGUGGUGAAGACUGAUUUAAAAUAAAAGUUUCCAAGUUUUGUUAUAUAAUUUUUAGCAUUUUAAGUUGGCUGCUGCUUCCUGGAACUAAACUACUUGGACUAGGAAGACCUACUUUGCUGACAUUGUCACAACUAACUGAGCGACUAAGGCCAGUUUUACCCAAGGUUAGAGGUGGAGGUGGUUUUAAAGUUGUGAGCACCUUGCCAUUAUUAUUACCAGAAGGAAGACUGGAUGAUAUUUUGGGCUCUUGCUUAAUGGAAAUGUUUUUUGUGCUUGAAAUUUUGGGUGGCUCCACAUCCUAAAAGAUG